AAUUGCUAUAAAAACAAACAAACACUAUGACAUUCAAGACUGGGACAAGGGCUGCUCGAAUUACAACRAAAAUUUCUUAGACUUUGGUAAUUGUCGCAGUGCUGCUGUGGACUAUUAGUUCAGUUACAUAUCUUUCAGAAAUUACGCUGAAAAACAGACAUGGUACUGCAAUAGGGGAGCUGGAGAGGGUUGCGGUUGUAACAUAAAUGUAAAGCCUGGGAUUAAAUAAAUUUCCAUAUACCAUU
Molecule: long non-coding RNA, 245 nt
Organism: Actinia tenebrosa (Australian red waratah sea anemone)
Lineage: Eukaryota; Metazoa; Cnidaria; Anthozoa; Actiniaria; Actiniidae
Source: RefSeq, a predicted model, not a curated record